This 497-nucleotide ribosomal RNA is filed under the name uncultured bacterium. RNAcentral describes it as "partial 16S ribosomal RNA". It matches the Rfam family "Bacterial small subunit ribosomal RNA", at positions 28 to 507 of the family's 1533-position model. The record is from RNAcentral.
GAUGAACGCUGGCGGCGUGCCUAACACAUGCAAGUCGAGCGGACAGAUGAGGCUUUUGCUCGUCUGCCGCGAGGGGCGGGCGGGUGAGUCACACGUGUAUACCCUACCUUUAAGACUGAGAUCACUUCGGGAAACCGGAUAUCACACCGGAUAAUAUCUUGAACCGGAUGGUUCAUUGGAGAUAGCCGGUUUUGCUGUCACUAAUAGGUGGUUCCGAGCUGCAUUAGUUAGUGGGUAGGGUCACGACGUUCCAAGGCGACGAUGCGUAGCCGACCUGACAGGGUGAUCGGCCACACUGGAACUGAGACACGGUCCAGACUCCUACGGGAGGCAGCAGUGGGGAAUCUUCCGCAAUGGGCGAAAGCCUGACGGAGCAACGCCGCGUGUGUGAUGAAGGUCUUCGGAUCGUAAAGCACUGUUAUUAGGGAAGAACAGAUGUAAGAUAAAACAUGGCCGUCUUGACGGUACCUAAUCAAAAAGCAACGGCUAACUACGUG